AAGGCCACAACACUUAAUGUUCUUUUCCUCCUAGAAUGCUAUGCUUGGAUCAACCCACCUAAUCAAAACACCCUGCACUGAAUAAUCACAUCUUUAAAAAUUAUACAACUCUAAGUUGUACAGCAGCUCUCUAGAACUUCUUCUUCUUAUGUAAAACCUUAGAGCAUAUAGUUAACAAUUCAGUAUUAUGCACUUAAAACUUGCCCAUGCAGUAGAGCUCAUGCGAUGUGUUCUUUCCACAGAGAAUAAGAAAGCAAAGGAACACAAGAGUGCCUUUGGAGCUGGUGGAUAUGUUUGUUUCCCUGUAUAGGGUAAUGGUUAUCACAGGUGUAUGCAUCAGUCCAAGCUCAUCAAAACGUAUACAAUACAUGCAACUCUUUGUUUAUUAAGUAUACCUCAAUUAAAAAAAUUUUUUUUUUACCCACAACUGCAGCAAUGGAGGUUCCUGAGUGAGGGAUCAAACCCACACCACAGCAGCGACCCAAGCUGCUGCAGCGACCACAUCGGAUCCUUAACCCGCUAUGCCACAAGACAAUUCCUAUCUUAAUACGUUUUUUAUUUUUCUUUUUUUUUUUUUUUGUCUUUUUGUCUUUUUGUUGUUGUUGUUGCUAUUUCCUGGGCCGCCCCCACGGCAUAUGGAGGUUCCCAGGCUAGGGCCCUAAAAAAAAGACCAAAAAAAAAAAAAAAACACCUUAUUUAUAUAUGAUCCAAGAGGAUUCUGAAUGUUCUUAAUUCCAAGUCUACAAAUUAGAUAACCGAGAAAAAAUUAGUGCUAUCAGCUUCUACACUGAGUCAAAGA
RNAcentral lists this long non-coding RNA (799 nucleotides) under Sus scrofa (pig). RNAcentral describes it as "lncRNA (ENSSSCG00000058708.1)". Lineage: Eukaryota; Metazoa; Chordata; Mammalia; Artiodactyla; Suidae. The record is from RNAcentral.